UACAGAGGGUGCGAGCGUUUAAUCGGAAUUAUUGGGCGUAAAGCGCGCGCAGGCGGUCCUUUAAGUCUGAUGUGAAAGCCCUCGGCUCAACCGAGGAGGGUCAUUGGAAACUGGAGGACUUGAGUGCAGAAGAGGAAAGUGGAAUUCCAAGGUGUAGCGGUGAAAUGCGUAGAGAUUUGGAGGAACACCAGUGGCGAAGGCGACUUUCUGGUCUGUAACUGACGCUGAGGCGCGAAAGCGUGGGGAGCAAACAGG
This 255-nucleotide ribosomal RNA is filed under the name uncultured bacterium. RNAcentral's name for it is "partial 16S ribosomal RNA". It matches the Rfam family "Bacterial small subunit ribosomal RNA", at positions 524 to 776 of the family's 1533-position model. The record is from RNAcentral.